RNAcentral lists this ribosomal RNA (381 nucleotides) under uncultured bacterium. RNAcentral describes it as "bacterial SSU rRNA". It matches the Rfam family "Bacterial small subunit ribosomal RNA", at positions 30 to 408 of the family's 1533-position model. The record is from RNAcentral.
AUUGAACGCUGGCGGCAUGCCUUACACAUGCAAGUCGAACGGCAGCACGGGAGCAAUCCUGGUGGCGAGUGGCGAACGGGUGAGUAAUAUAUCGGAACGUGCCCAGUCGUGGGGAUAGCGUAGCGAAAGCUACGCUAAUACCGCAUACGAUCUAUGGAUGAAAGCGGGGGGAUCGCAAGACCUCGCGCGAUUGGAGCGGCCGAUAUCAGAUUAGGUAGUUGGUGAGGUAAAGGCUCACCAAGCCGACGAUCUGUAGCUGGUCUGAGAGGACGACCAGCCACACUGGGACUGAGACACGGCCCAGACUCCUACGGGAGGCAGCAGUGGGGGAAUUUUUGGGACAAUGGGCGCAAGCCUGAUCCAGCAAUGCCGCGUGCAGGA